UGGAUUAUAUGGGCGUUUAAGAUUUGGAUUUUAGAGACUUUUGCAGCACAUGUGCGUUGUUGGGAGCAUGACUAUGCCUUCAUCCCAAGACUAAUAGAGUGUUAAAGGCGGGACCUCCUACAACGCCAAAGUUUACUUUUGGUGGAUUUAUAUGGACGUUUAAGAUUUGGAUUUUAGAGACUUUUGCAGCACAUGUGCGUUGUUGGGAGCAUGACUAUGCCUUCAUCCCAAGAGAUCCCAAGAGCCCUUGCUUGGAAAAAGCAAUCAACAUUUCAUGUGAAUGUGGAUGCAGCACCAUUACUAAGUAGCAUUAAUAAUCUUAACCCACCAAUACAUCCCAUACGGCCCAAGGAUAACGAACGUGGUCAAGAAUGGUACAUAUCUAGUACUAGAUUUUUUAAUGGGGAUCAUGGUGUCUAUCCGCCACCAGUAAGGGAUCAUGGGGAUAUGGUGUCCAUCCGCCACCAGUAUACCGAUAGAUGUUACCGUUCAGGAGCCGCUACUCGCAUUGGAGUCGAUUAGCAAAGAGAUGCAAGCGGUUAACAAAGAGAUACAAGCAGAUAUCUGGAGCUUGAAGAACCGUGUACUAGUAAUUGAGCAGAAAGUUCAGGAUUACACGGACAAUGAAGAUGAGGAUGAAGACGAUGAUUGGCACAAAAUUGACGAGUUGCUAGAACUACAUCAGGAAGGGAUCGGGAUAAUGAUAGAAGAGAAAUAGAGAAGAUGGGGUAAUCAGGGGAGAGAAGGAGAUGUACAUGGUGAGUUUUGAUUAGUUGAUAGUUGAUACAUGGCAAAAGUGUGAUUUAUACAAUAAAGCCACGGGUAUUUUGUCCAGAAUCAAUCACAUAAAGAAAAAAGACCAAGAGGUUGACUACUCGAACAAUUUGUACGAGUCGCAAAAUUUAGCGGUGUCACGCAAGUAUAGAUGAGCUUGAGAGUAGAGUUGAUCAAGUCGAGUGCAAGAUCAGUAUAUUCAUAUAAGAGUGAAUCGUGUGAUGACGUCUUGGCCGACAAUAUACUUUUUGAGAUACCGCCAACACAGCAAAAUCAUAUUGACCCCAGCUAUAUCAAGAUGUACAACUUAAUAACACCAAGGCACCUGAUGAGAACGAAGAAAUAGUGUAUGUGUUAAAUAAAGAACUUAUUGCAGAGGUCUUAACACAAGUUGCUACCGGUGUCGAUAAGAAGAACAAGCUACAGGAGGCUCGGGAAGUUGCAUUCUUGAAUGCUGCCCAUUAUAAGAGGUUUCAAGCACACAUGGAAGCAAAGAAGAAUGCGGAAGAAAGAUCGAAUGAAACCUAGAGGAGGAUACGGGAAGGUCAACGGGACUCUAAGAAAAAGUGUCUCAAUUUGAAGAGUGUUAAUGUAAAGGGUGAACCAUCUACUGUCCGUUCAUUUAUCCCUAAGUCAGACUAUUGUAAGUUGCGCUCGGUUGCACCUUGGGUUGAGGAUCUAAAACGGGACGAUCCAUCAAAAAUGUAUCCGGUGCCUAGUUAUUAAUACCAUGAUUUGAAGAGGAUGGCAGGUCUUGAGGGAUGGCGUUUGUCAUUUUCUCCUGAUAUAAUCUUAAGAGAACCAUUUUGGGAUGCCCUACUUUGCAUGGAUACCGGCCAUCGAAAGGGUUGGUUGCACGAUGAGGCCACCCAAUGCGGACUGGUGUAUGGUGGAUGGCUGGUUUCUCACACUUCUUUUGAGGGGUGAUGUAAGUAAUUUAUAUGGAGAUGGGCGGCGGUUCAAGGUGUCAUUUGGAGAAGUUGAUCGUGUAUUGAUUCCGAUAAACAGUGUGGAAACGCAUUGGACUCUUGGAGAGUUUCAUAUACCUACAGGAGUGAUGAUGAUAUACGACAACUAUCAUGACUGGCUUUCUUCGGCAACUAACAAAGUAGGUGUGGAAUCUAUGAUUACGACGGUGAAACAACAACUGCCCUUAUAUCUUCAGCGAUUGGGUGUAUUUGAAAAGAGAGGCCUUGAUUACAGUUUGUACAACAUAACAUGGGAUACAUUUCCAAAACAGUUGACCCCUCAGCAAGGACCUUUGUUUGGUGAUUGUGGUGUCUUUGUAUGUAUAUUUUUAUACCGUCUAAGUCAUGGCUUGGGCUUAGAUGUGGGAGAUCCUAUCCAAGCUGCUCUAGCUUAUAGGGAGCGUAUGACUGAUCUUGCCUUGGAGUAUAAGGAACGUGUUUAUGAGGAAUCGGAAGUCAAAAAGCUCAGGAAGGAAGCGGGGAAACGAAAAGGACAUUUUUACUAAAGACUUCAGUAUCCAACCAAUGUAAGAGACCAAUUAGAAGGUGUAGGGUGUAGCUUUUGUUUGAUCCAUUUUCAAGUUGUUUAUGGCUAGUAACUUUGUGUAGACAGUAUUUGUGAUGGUUUUCACUUAAACGUUGGACAAAUGGUUUUUAAUGUUGUAUUGUUUUGAAGGUUUUGGCUAUAUGCUACAAAUUGUACCGACUCUCGAUGACAAUGGUUUUUGUUUUAUGUUGACAUACCUGAUUUUAGGUGUAA
Molecule: long non-coding RNA, 2502 nt
Organism: Erigeron canadensis
Lineage: Eukaryota; Viridiplantae; Streptophyta; Magnoliopsida; Asterales; Asteraceae
Exons: 13
Source: RefSeq, a predicted model, not a curated record